GCAAGUCGAACGGUAACAUGAGAGCUUGACCUUGAUGACGAGUGGCGCACGGGUGCGUAACGCGUAUAGAACCUACCUUAUACAGGGGAAUAGCCUUUAGAAAUGAAGAUUAAUGCCCCAUGGUAUUAUUGAAUCGCAUGAUUUAGUAAUUAAAGAUUUAUCGGUAUAAGAUGGCUAUGCGUCCUAUUAGUUAGUUGGUGAGGUAACGGCUCACCAAGACGAUGAUAGGUAGGGGGCCCGAGAGGGUGGUC
RNAcentral lists this ribosomal RNA (251 nucleotides) under uncultured bacterium. RNAcentral's name for it is "partial 16S ribosomal RNA". It matches the Rfam family "Bacterial small subunit ribosomal RNA", at positions 57 to 305 of the family's 1533-position model. The record is from RNAcentral.